GGGUUGUGAGGUUAAGCGACUAAGCGUACACGGUGGAUGCCCUGGCAGUCAGAGGCGAUGAAGGACGUGCUAAUCUGCGAAAAGCGUCGGUAAGGUGAUAUGAACCGUUACAGCCGGCGAUGUCCGAAUGGGGAAACCCAGUGCAAUUCGUUGCACUAUCGUUAACUGAAUACAUAGGUUAACGAGGCGAACCGGGGGAACUGAAACAUCUA
RNAcentral lists this ribosomal RNA (212 nucleotides) under Klebsiella pneumoniae. RNAcentral describes it as "partial 23S ribosomal RNA". It matches the Rfam family "Bacterial large subunit ribosomal RNA", at positions 1 to 204 of the family's 2925-position model. Lineage: Bacteria; Pseudomonadati; Pseudomonadota; Gammaproteobacteria; Enterobacterales; Enterobacteriaceae. The record is from RNAcentral.